AAUUCGAUUCGGGUGUGACAAGGCCCGGGAACGUAUUCACCGCGGCGUUUUGAUCCGCGAUUACUAGCGAUUCCAGCCUCAUGGAGUCGAGUUGCAGACUCCAAUCCGAACUGAGGCCGGCUUUUUCCGAUUAGCUCCCCCUCACGGGUUUGCGACGGUUUGUACCGACCACUGUAGCACGUGUGUAGCCCUGGACAUAAAGGCCAUGAGGACUUGACGUCAUCCCCACCUUCCUCCUCGUUAUCCGAGGCAGUUUCACUAGAGUGCCCGGCUUGACCCGAUGGCAACUAGGGAUAAGGGUUGCGCUCGUUGCGGGACUUAACCCAACAUCUCACGACACGAGCUGACGACAGCCAUGCACCACCUGCACACAGACCACAAGGGAACGCCUAUCUCUAGACGCGUCCUGUGCAUGUCAAACCCAGGUAAGGUUCUUCGCGUUAAUCACUA
This 450-nucleotide ribosomal RNA is filed under the name uncultured soil bacterium. Its description in RNAcentral is "partial 16S ribosomal RNA". The record is from RNAcentral.